GACGAACGCUGGCGGCGUGCCUAAUACAUGCAAGUAGAACGCUAAAGAGAGGAGCUUGCUCUUCUUGGAUGAGUUGCGAACGGGUGAGUAACGCGUAGGUAACCUGCCUUGUAGCGGGGGAUAACUAUUGGAAACGAUAGCUAAUACCGCAUAACAAUGGAUGACACAUGUCAUUUAUUUGAAAGGGGCAAUUGCUCCACUACAAGAUGGACCUGCGUUGUAUUAGCUAGUAGGUGAGGUAACGGCUCACCUAGGCGACGAUACAUAGCCGACCUGAGAGGGUGAUCGGCCACACUGGGACUGAGACACGGCCCAGACUCCUACGGGAGGCAGCAGUAGGGAAUCUUCGGCAAUGGGGGCAACCCUGACCGAGCAACGCCGCGUGAGUGAAGAAGGUUUUCGGAUCGUAAGGCUCUGUUGUAAGUCAAGAACGAGUGUGAGAGUGGAAAGUUCACACUGUGACGGUAGCUUACCAGAAAGGGACGGCUAACUACGUGCCAGCAGCCGCGGUAAUACGUAGGUCCCGAGCGUUGUCCGGAUUUAUUGGGCGUAAAGCGAGCGCAGGCGGUUUGAUAAGUCUGAAGUUAAAGGCUGUGGCUCAACCAUAGUUCGCUUUGGAAACUGUCAAACUUGAGUGCAGAAGGGGAGAGUGGAAUUCCAUGUGUAGCGGUGAAAUGCGUAGAUAUAUGGAGGAACACCGGUGGCGAAAGCGGCUCUCUGGUCUGUAACUGACGCUGAGGCUCGAAAGCGUGGGGAGCGAACAGG
This 765-nucleotide ribosomal RNA is filed under the name uncultured Streptococcus sp. RNAcentral's name for it is "bacterial SSU rRNA". It matches the Rfam family "Bacterial small subunit ribosomal RNA", at positions 28 to 776 of the family's 1533-position model. Lineage: Bacteria; Bacillati; Bacillota; Bacilli; Lactobacillales; Streptococcaceae. The record is from RNAcentral.